GGACCCGCACAAGUAGUGGAGCAUGUGGUUUAAUUCGAAGAUACGCGCAGAACCUUACCAACACUUGACAUGUUCGUCGCGACUCUAAGAGAUUAGAGUUUUCGGUUCGGCCGGACGAAACACAGGUGCUGCAUGGCUGUCGUCAGCUCGUGUCGUGAGAUGUUGGGUUAAGUCCCGCAACGAGCGCAACCCUCACUUUUAGUUGCCAUCAUUAAGUUGGGCACUCUAGCGAGACUGCCGGUGAUAAGCCGGAGGAAGGCGGGGAUGACGUCAAGUCCUCAUGGCCCUUAUGGGCUGGGCUACACACGUGCUACAAUGGCAGUGACAGAGGGACGCUACCAGGUGACUGAUGCAAA
Molecule: ribosomal RNA, 356 nt
Filed under: uncultured bacterium
Lineage: Bacteria
Description: bacterial SSU rRNA
Rfam family: Bacterial small subunit ribosomal RNA
Source: RNAcentral